AACACUCCCCGUGUACAGUGCUACUCACAGUCGACAUCUCCCCAAACCUUCCACAUUUUUUUUGUGCUUUUAGCUCCUUGUCUCUAUCACCCCCUACCUUGUUGCCGUCGCCACAGCCCACCUCAACGCGCCUUGGCAAAAACGCACGCACAAACACACACACUCACACAGGCUACUCAAUCAGACCCACACUUCCUGUUUCACGUUCUUUUAAUUUCACUCGCUCCCUGCCCUUGCUUUUACCCCCUAUUGCACGCCUCUAGUUUCUUGUGAUUGCUACGCAGUGAGCCAUCACCUUAGCAGACGUACACACUUCGCCCCCUCGCCCCACGUAUCACAAAACUCCCCCUCCUUCCCCACCCACCUAAUCACCACCCCGCGAAGGCAUCAACCAUGGCCCCGAUCAUCCACCGCAACCUCACCGCCCCCGAGCUGGUGCAGUGGGCGCUGAAGCUCGAGAAGGACACGAAGCUGAGCGCGCGCGGCGCGCUGUGCGUGCUGUCAUACGCGAAGACUGGCCGCUCGCCGAGCGACAAGCGUGUGGCGGACACGGAUGACGUGCGCGAGAACGUGGACUGGGGCAGUGUAAACGUGAAGCUGAGCGAGGAGUCGUUCGCAAAGGUGAAGAAGCGCGCGAUGGACUUCCUGAACUCACGCGACCACCUGUUCAUCGUGGAUUGCUUCGCCGGGCACGACGAGCGCUAUCGCCUGAAGGUGCGCGUGAUCACAACGCGGCCGUAUCACGCACUGUUCAUGUACAACAUGCUGAUCCGCCCGACACGGCAGGAGCUAGAGAACUUUGGCGAGCCGGAGUACACGAUCUACAACGCCGGCGAGCACUUGGCAGACCCGUCGGUGCCCGGGAUCACGUCGACGACGUCUGUGUCGCUAAACUUCAAGACGGGCGAGGAGGUGAUCCUGGGCACGGAGUACGCUGGCGAGAUGAAGAAGGGCAUACUGACGGUGAUGUUCGAGCUGAUGCCGCGCCAGGGCCACCUGUGCAUGCACGCGUCCGCGAACGUCGGCAAGAAGGGCGACGUGACUGUGUUCUUCGGGCUGAGCGGGACGGGCAAGACGACGCUGUCCGCAGACCCGAACCGGAUGCUGAUCGGCGACGACGAGCACGUGUGGACGGACCGCGGCGUGUUCAACAUCGAGGGCGGCUGCUACGCGAAGGCGAUCGGGCUGAACCCGAAGACGGAGGAGGAGAUCUACAACGCUGUGAAGUUCGGCGCCGUGGCGGAGAACUGCACUCUGGACAAGGCGACGCACGAGAUCGACUUCAACGACGAGUCCAUCUGCAAGAACACGCGCGUUGCAUACCCGCUGGAGCACAUCCCCGGCGCGCUGACGCACGCGGUUGCCGGGCACCCGAACAACGUGAUCUUCCUGACGAACGACGCGUUCGGCGUGAUGCCGCCGGUUGCGCGGCUGACGCCGGAGCAGGCGAUGUUUUGGUUCAUCAUGGGGUACACCGCGAACGUGCCCGGCGUGGAGGCAGGCAACGCGCCGGUGGCGAAGCCGAUCUUCUCGUCGUGUUUUGCCGGCCCGUUCCUUGUGCGCCACGCGACGUACUAUGGGGAGCAGCUGGCAAGGAAGAUGACGGAGCACAACGCCCGCGUAUGGCUGCUGAACACCGGCUACGCUGGCGGGCGCGCGGACCGCGGCGCGAAGCGGAUGCCGCUGAAGGUGACGCGUGCCGUGAUCGACGCGAUUCACGACGGCAGCCUGGACAAGGAACAGUACUGCGUGUACCCGGGCUGGGGCCUGCAGAUCCCGAGGAGGUGCGCGCGCGUGCCGGCGCAGCUGCUGGACCCGCGCAAGGCGUGGAAGGAUGUGAAGGCGUUCAACGAGACGACGAAGGAGCUGGUGGCGAUGUUCCAGGCGAGCUUCCAGAAGCGCUUUGCGGCGAAGGCGAGCGAGGCGCUGAAGUCUGCCGUGCCGAAGUACGUGGAGACGGCUCAUCUGUAGGGACGAUGUGUCGUCUCGGAUGAGGUGUCUGUUUGUGUGUGUGAUGUCGGCGACUUGUUUGUCGUGAGUUUUAGUGCGCGACUGAUCGCUGCGAGGAGCUCUGUCCGCCGACUGUGAUUGCGAGGGUGACAGACAGCGGCGUGCUCGACGAUGGGUCGGCAGCGAAGGGGAAGCCCUACCGUUGUGCGCGAGGUCUAAAGUCGGGAGGGGUUCGGAAGAACAGCGGCACGAAGUCGGUACUAGUCUGCGGUGAUGGGUGAGUUGGUGGUGUGCUCUCUCCCAGAGGUCAUGGGCGUGUGAGUUCGGCUUACUGCUUGCUUGGCGCAGUAGGGGCGCGCUCUGCGUGUUGGCUGUUCUGGGGAAAAGGAAGACGACUUUGUGCAUCUUUUUAUUAUGCUAAUCCGCGUAUGGCUUCUUUUGGAUGUGCAAGUGCUAUUUCACGACCCGCAGGGAGCACCGUCACCAGCGCCUCUCUCUGUGCUUUUCUUUUGUUUUUCUGACAUCCAUGUCGACGUCGUUUGUGCUUGCGUAUCACGGAAGGUGCGAUGCCACGGCUUCUGUCCGCUCUUCAUGAAUGGCAGCUGCCAAGUUUUUUUUUUGUUGCUGUCUUGAGUUUUCCCGCUCGCCCGUCCCUCAACCCCUCGAUCCCCGCUCUUUCCGUCCUCCCCACAUCGCCAACCAAGCCAUGCAAGACACAUACACACACACACAAACAGCACACAUGCACGUCCACAGGUGGACCAACUACUAAACAAACCCCAAAACGACAUGCUUACGUUCAUCUCUUUUCUACGUUCGGUUCUCAUGUUUUUUUUUUUUUUGUCCGCUCAGCCGCUUGCUAGUCUUGUGUGUGCGUCUUCUCCGAGUGCUGCGUCAUGCAGCACGGGGAUCUCUCUUUGUUUUCCGUCACUAUUACCAUCCAGUAUUAUCUGUCGUUUUCUUGUUUUUUUUUUUUCGCAUAUGCGUGUGUCUAUUUUUCUGUUGCUGUUACUGCCUUCUGCACUUGGAAAAAGAAAAAAGAAAUGCUGCUCUCACUCUCGCCCUCUCUAAGUUGACAGUUGAAUGUCUCCCCCGUCUUCUUCUUUGUCUUCGCCCUUCCUCUCACUUUAUUCCGGUACUUCUUCCCCUCUACCCGUCGUCUCCUCCGUAUCUGUAGCUUGAACGUUCUCGUUGCUUCAGCGCACCCCCUUCCGCUUCCUCUGCCCGUUUGCUGGGGUGCGACUGUGUGCGUUUGUGGGCACCUUCAUAAAAACACACACAGAACAGUAAGGAGCCCAUAAUUCGCCGCCACUCUCACCCCUCUACAGACACACACACACACAAACACACACACGCCCUUACCCCCCAAAAUAUAUGAUCGGUUGCUUGUUUCGUUUUCCCCCUUCCUCUCAUCGCUCUUGUUCUCUUCAUUGCAGCUGUUUUAUCUUAUUUUUAUUUUUGCUAGCCGCUCUUCUUAUGCUGGCGAGAUAUCUAUUUCGUGUUUAGUACGGACUUCAUCCUUGUGUCCUUCGCCCCAUCCCCCAUCCCUCAUUCUCUCUCUCUCUCUGCGCGCGUGCGUGUGUGUGUGUGUGUGCCCGUAUCAACGCAAAAUGCAGCAACUAAAAAGGCAUCAAAGCAGCGCAUCCCUCCCUCCUCUCCCUCCUUCUCCUUCUUCUCCCAACUAAGCACACACACACACACGCACGCACGCACACGCACACGCACACGACGCAAGCGGAUGGUGAGAGCAGACGAAGGGAAAUAAUAUUCAACGGCGGAAAAGAAAGCGGCCGUCAGGCAAAGCACGAUGACCGCAUAGAAGAAAGAAAGCAAAACAAAUACGAGCAUAACCCAUACACACGCGAGCACGUAACAGUCCAGCUCCGCGGAAGGUAGAACAGUACGGGCACGGGAAAAUAUGAUGGAUGCUCGACCGAUUAUUUCGAAUAACUCAAGGUGCGUCAUCCAUACAGCCACACACACACACACACACACACACGCAUAUACAUAAAACAGCAAAGGAAAUACCAGCACUGCGAACUGCUGGUUCUCUCUUACUCGAUAGGCGUGAUGCACGAGAAGAAGAUGUCGCUCUUAGCGCUUUUUCUUUCUACCUGUCUCUCACGCCACAGCACUUGCUACACGGUACACAGAGGGAUGU
This 4111-nucleotide unclassified non-coding RNA is filed under the name Leishmania donovani. Its description in RNAcentral is "gene:LdHU3.27.2640(CDS-product:glycosomal_phospho enolpyruvate_carboxykinase_putative)". Lineage: Eukaryota; Euglenozoa; Kinetoplastea; Trypanosomatida; Trypanosomatidae. The record is from RNAcentral.